Molecule: long non-coding RNA, 84 nt
Organism: Sander lucioperca (pikeperch)
Lineage: Eukaryota; Metazoa; Chordata; Actinopteri; Perciformes; Percidae
Exons: 3
Source: RefSeq, a predicted model, not a curated record
CCGAACGUCCUUGUCCUUUCAGAUGCUACGUUUACAUGUGGCCGGCUAUUUUCAUAAACGGACGGAUUUCAACCUCUCUGUUUU